This 410-nucleotide ribosomal RNA is filed under the name uncultured Methylomirabilota bacterium. RNAcentral describes it as "bacterial SSU rRNA". It matches the Rfam family "Bacterial small subunit ribosomal RNA", at positions 1025 to 1434 of the family's 1533-position model. Lineage: Bacteria; Methylomirabilota (SeqCode). The record is from RNAcentral.
AACGUGGAGACAGGUGGUGCAUGGCUGUCGUCAGCUCGUGUCGUGAGAUGUUGGGUUAAGUCCCGCAACGAGCGCAACCCUCACCUCUUGUUGCCAUCAGGUCAUGCUGGGCACUCUAGAGGAACUGCCCCGGUCAACGGGGAGGAAGGCGGGGAUGACGUCAAGUCAUCAUGCCCCUUACGUCCUGGGCUACACACGUGCUACAAUGGCCGGUACAAAGGGAUGCCACACCGCGAGGUAGAGCUAAACCCAAAAAGCCGGUCUAAGUUCAGAUUGGAGUCUGCAACUCGACUCCAUGAAGGAGGAAUCGCUAGUAAUCGCGUAUCAGCACGACGCGGUGAAUACGUUCCCGGGCCUUGUACACACCGCCCGUCACACCACGAAAGCCUGCUGUACUCGAAGUCGCUGAG